This 1225-nucleotide long non-coding RNA is filed under the name Populus trichocarpa (black cottonwood). RNAcentral describes it as "long non-coding RNA (PTRI_LNC003721)". Lineage: Eukaryota; Viridiplantae; Streptophyta; Magnoliopsida; Malpighiales; Salicaceae. The record is from RNAcentral.
GUAGAAUAUCAGGAUUAUCUGAAUACAAAGGAGACAUAUUCAAGAACAACUCGAAAGAACAUAUAACCUAUUUAAUAUACCUAACUAAGAGUGUAUACCAUAACCCUAUAUGUUUUUAAACUAAAUUAGUUAUUUUUCCAUAUGCAUGAGAAAUAUGUUUUUCAAGAAAUCUAAUCCAUAAUAAAAUUGGUAAUAAUUCACUAAAUAACCCUCAAUUAUUCAUCAAACCAAACUGCAAAAGCUAAUAUUACAGCUAGGGACAAAUUUGAAAUUUAUCAUAUUUUUUAAGGGUCAAAUUGUAACUUUUGUCAAAUUGAAGGGCCAAACUAAAAAUAUUAUAAAUCCAUGACUAUACUGAAAUUAUGACCAUAAUUAAUCCUCAUUUCUGUUCAGAAUAUCUCAUUAUGCUCCAGGGACCAUCCUGGAAUUUUUUUCCAAAUUUUUAGGGUCAAAUUGUAAUUUUUUUCAAAUUGAAGGACCAAAUUGAAAGUGUUAAAAUUUCAUAACUAUACAGGAAUUCUGCCCAUAAUUCAUCUUUUAUUCUGUUCAGAAUCUCGGAAUAUACUCGAGGGACCAAUCUGUAAUUUUCCAAAGUUUGGAGACUAAACUGUAAUUUUCACAAAUUGAGGGACCAAACCGAAAUUUUGUCAUCUUCAACCUCCAACCCAGAAUUUCAACAGAAAACCUACUGUUCUUUCCAUAUUUCUAACUCAAAAUUCACCAUUUACAUAAAUCAUAACUCAAAAUUAUCAUCUUUACCUACAAUCUUCCAUAAUCAACUAAAUAAUCAAUUACCCACAACAAUCAACCCUAUAACAUUCAAAUUAAUUCAUCAAUUAAACCCAAAAUAAAAUCUUCAAAACCCUAACAUUCAUUAAAACCGAAAUUUAAAGUUCAAGAAAACGUAUUAUACACAUUUAUACAUUUAAAAACCUAAAUCUUACCUUUAAACUUAUUUUCUUCAACUCCUUUCUAUUUCUCUUUCCCUCUUUUCUCUUCUUCUUCUUCUUUCUCACUUCACUCUCACGGUUUGCUCUCUAAGAACACAGCUCUCUCUCUCUCUCUCUUUUUUACUUCCUAUUUAUAUUUAUCAUCUCUUUAUCCAAUUACUACAAUACCUCUCAUUUAAUUAUACUUUUUCUUUAAGCCUCCAAGGGCUUUGUUAUCUUUUUCUAUUUCUUUUAAAACAAAACAUCACAUGAUUAGUACUUAUUGAUCAUCGAUC